Molecule: transfer RNA, 73 nt
Organism: Methanosarcina sp. MTP4
Lineage: Archaea; Methanobacteriati; Methanobacteriota; Methanomicrobia; Methanosarcinales; Methanosarcinaceae
Rfam family: tRNA
About the family: Transfer RNA (tRNA) molecules are approximately 80 nucleotides in length. Their secondary structure includes four short double-helical elements and three loops (D, anti-codon, and T loops). Further hydrogen bonds mediate the characteristic L-shaped molecular structure. tRNAs have two regions of fundamental functional importance: the anti-codon, which is responsible for specific mRNA codon recognition, and the 3' end, to which the tRNAs corresponding amino acid is attached (by aminoacyl-tRNA synthetases). tRNAs cope with the degeneracy of the genetic code in two manners: having more than one tRNA (with a specific anti-codon) for a particular amino acid; and 'wobble' base-pairing, i.e. permitting non-standard base-pairing at the 3rd anti-codon position.
Source: Rfam
GCCGCCAUAACUCAGUUGGUAGAGUGUCUGGCUGUUAACCAGAAUGUCGUAGGUUCGAGCCCUGCUGGCGGCG